This is a long non-coding RNA of Anolis carolinensis (green anole), 2658 nucleotides long. RefSeq lists it as uncharacterized. The record is from RefSeq and is a predicted model, not a curated record. The transcript has 5 exons. NCBI's taxonomy places the organism in Eukaryota, Metazoa, Chordata, Lepidosauria, Squamata, Anolidae.
CCACACCUGAAGCCAACUCAGACAACUUCUGUGGAUUAGCUGUCAUAAUGGCUGGGUCAUCUGAGGCUGCUGUAGCCCUGCUGGCCACAGGACUGCUUUGCAUCUCUGCAGACUUGUGCAUUAUAAGGAACCAUACCUGUGAAACACAAGUAUUUUACAUGAAUGGUUGAAUCUGCAUUGUAAUUCAUAACACUGCUUGAGACUGGAACUAAGUCUUAUACAUAGCUUCCGAGGCUUCUACAAUCUCAUCCUUUUAAGGCAGCUACUAAAAGGGGCCAUAGACAGAAGUGCUCAUAAAAAGGUCUCAGAAGCCCCUGGUGGCACAGUGGGUUAAAUGCUUGUGCCAGGCAGGACUGAUGAUGAAGGACAACAAUCUAAAUAAGGAAAGAUGCCUAAGGAAAAGUGGUGCUGGGGAAUGAGUCCACCAGAUGCUGACUGCUCUUGUCUCCCUCAGAGCUGGGACAAUGGCCGUUAAGAUGAUCUUCAUCAAGGCAUCAUGGGCUUCUGUGAGCUGCCCCGAGUCCCCUCAGGGAGAUGGUGGUGAGCAAGGUGCAACAUAGCACAAUCUGUUUUGUUUGCCUCAAGGUGAUUCUCAUCGGUUUAUAGCCAAAAUAAAUUGACUGUGUCAGAAAAAUACACUUCGGCUUUAAUAACAGUUGUGCAAACAUUUUAUUCACUGAAUUGGGGGAAACGUGUAUCCAGUUUUAAAAAGGACCAUCCGUAGCAAUUUAAAUACCUUCGCUUUAUGACAUGUCUUCAAAAAUAAUUCAUUCAGAAUGCCUAUCCAUAUUUGCAUAUAAGCUGUUGUUUAUUAAUGUGAAUGGCUUGUUGAGUUUUUAUGGAAAAGAAUAGUGAGCAUAACCACAAAGAUCCAGAGGGCUAGAAGCUGAAGGGAAAAAAAUCCUGCCACAGAAAAUAGAAUUAUAUGUCCCUGUUGAAGGGAGCUCUAGUACAGGGCCGGGCUGUGGCACAGCUGGCUAGUAACCAGCUGCAAUAAAUCACUACUGACCGAGAGGUCAUGAGUUCGAAGCCCGGGUCGGGUUAAGCCCCCGACCAUUAAAUAGCCCGGCUUGCUGUUGACCUAUGCAGCCCCGAAAGACAGUUGCAUCUGUCAAGUAGGGAAAUUUAGGUACGCUUUAUGCGGGAGGCUAAUUUAACUAAUUUACAACAUCAUAAAAACUGCCAGCAAAACACGAGAAAAGGAAUGAGGAAGUACAGCCACUAGUGGACAGUGAAGCAACAGCUCCCCCUGUGGCCGGAAUCGUGAAGCUGGAAAAAAAUGUUAAAUGCCUCUGUGUCUGUCUAUAUAUGUUGUUUGUCUGUUGGCAUUGAAUGUUUGCCACAUAUGUGUUCAUUGUAAUCCGCCCUGAGUCCCCUUCUGGGUGAAAAGGGCUGUGGAACUCCCUCCCCAGUGACAUUCGGCAGGCCCCAUCCCUUUGGGGUUCAGAAAAAAACUGAAGACCUGGCUAUGUACGCAGGCAUUUGAAGAAUAAGCAUGUGUUGGCUUCGACGCAGUCUGAAUUAUGGCUCUUGUAUAAGGUCUGGUGGACGAAUGACAUAAGCACUUUGCAUUGUUUUAAACUUUGUAUAUUGUAUUUUUUAUGACUGUUUUAACUGUUUUAAUCGUUUUAGUUUAUUGUAUAUCAGUGUAACGGCAUCAAUUGCCACUUGUAAGCCGCCCUGAGUCCCCUCGGGUGAUAAGGGUGGGGUAUAAAUAAUUGAAAUAAAUAAAUAAUAAAUAAAUAAAUAUAAAUACUGUAAAUAAAUAAAUAAAUAGUACAUGGGUGUUCACUCCAUAAUACUUUGAUUAGCUUUUAAUAAAUAGCUGGACAGAUAGUAGAUCUGGAAUGGCCUGUUUAGUAGCACUCUAAUUCUUUUGCAGUUGAUAUGUAAACAUCUUGAGCUUGAGUAGAACAACUGCAGUAACAAAAUACUCUGUGAAAAGGAAGAACACCUGGGGCAGCUUGGUGUUGAUCUUGUUUGAGCUCUUGUUCUAAUAUUCAGGAAAAAAAAUCCUUGCUUCAGAAUUGCUUGAUUACAAAUUCUUGUUUUUUUCUUCCCUCUAGGAUGGGGAAAGAAGGGAGUGGAUCUUGUGCUUUCUGAAGCACAAAAUAGAUGUCACAAGUUCAAUUUUUUUCAUUCCUGUUGCAGUUGCCAGAAGAUGUAGUUCUUCUGCAACAAACUUAUGGGGCAAACUCUGGAAAUUACUCAGCUCACAGUUCUGCAUAAUGAGAAACAGUAACUCUAGAAGACCUAAGUCCAGUGUUUCGUCUAUUAUCAAGUUCUAAGUCCAUGUGCACAAUUUCCAUGUUAGUGCUGUGACUGCAUUAAGCCUUCUACUUAUUGUGCGGGUGUCUAUUGAGGAAGUGGCAAAAAGAAAGUGGUUAAAGUUAAAGCCCCUUUAACUCUGUGGUAGUGAGUUAAAUUUAAGUAGUCAAGCACAACUCAAAAAUAUAGGGUUUGGUAUUAUCCAUAAUUUCAGGAAUCCAUGGUGGGUCUUGGAAUGGAUCCGCUGUGGAUAAAGAAGUGUGUACCUUACUGUAUUUGUAAUAGGUUUUGUUGGAUUUAUUUAUAACAAGCAACAUCAUAAAAAGCAUCAUUUAGGUGCUAUUACUUAAAGGGCUCCUGGGGUCAUAUCAUAUAGGUGGAUAUCAUUUU